Chenopodium quinoa (quinoa) is the source of this 2100-nucleotide long non-coding RNA. RefSeq lists it as uncharacterized. The record is from RefSeq and is a predicted model, not a curated record. The transcript is spliced from 9 exons. Lineage: Eukaryota; Viridiplantae; Streptophyta; Magnoliopsida; Caryophyllales; Amaranthaceae.
GGUUUAGGAGAGGAGUUUAUUGAAGGUGAUUUCUAGUUAGUAAAAUGGCAUACCAACUUGCUUACUCAAGGUACGUACGAGCUACGAAACCUUGGCUUUAGAUCACUACUACAAAUCCCUUGGUUUUUGGAUGCCAUUGGUUCGACGCUAUGUAUGGAGUGUCCACGUAUAAAAGAAUUCCCACUUAUUUUCGACGCUUUUACAUGUUAAAUCAGUUCUUGACAAGAUAAAGCGACGACAAAUUCGUAUGAUUUGCACGUGACUCAAGGCAACCUAAGGAAAAUUAAAAAGAAAACAAAAAAGAAAUGUUAAAAACUGGCUUAUACCCAGGCCACGAAUAUACCCAAAGUACUCUCUCUCUCUCUCUCUCUCUCUCUCUCUCUAUAACUCUUAGAUCCCAGCACCUCAACACAAACUCCUUCGUCACCGAAAUUCUCUUCGAUCUCUCAAUUUCUGGAUUUUCUCUCCUCUUCUCAAUCAUGGUGCUCGAGAAUUCUCAGGCAACUAUAAUCUGCAUCAUCAAUCCGGAGUGGAUGCGUAAUGGUGAUUACUCGCCCACCAGAUUUCAAGCUCUUUCUGAUGCUGUUAAUCUCAUCUGCGGCGCUAAAACUCAGUCUAAUCCGGAGAACACUGUCGGAAUUCUGACUAUGGAUGGAAAAGGUGUUCGUGUUUUGGUCACUCCCACCAGUGAUCUUGGAACAAAUGAUAUUGGCUUGUAUGCACGGCAGGGGAAAAGAAUAUUGGGAGUGAAAAGGGUAGCAAAUAGCACCGGAUUGUUUUAGAAAUGGUUCUUUGUUGCCUGAGGUCAAGGAUCCAAGGCAGAUUUAAUUUAGUUGGUUGUUUGUAGGAGCUAAUGUUGUACUAUGUGCUGCCCUCUGUUGGAGGGCUUUGUAAUUGGAGUGCUCUUUUACGCAGGACCAUUGUUUAAGAUGGACUUUUCGAAUCAUCCAUGUUCGUGGCCGGCUUGCUAUCGAUGAUGAUUUAGUCUGCCACAUGGUCCAAACAAAAAGAAGAUGCCACCUCCCGAUGUGGCUUGCAUCUUGCAAGCAUUCGCUACCUACAUAGGAGGAUGGUACACCAGACUGUAUUUUCUGCUCCUACACCUAUUCAAGCACAGUCAUGGCCAAUUUCAAUGCAAGGUCAAGAUAUUGUGGCAACUGCUCAGAUGGGUUCUGGAAAGACCUUAGGCUAUCUUCUUCCAGGUUUUAUGCAUCUCAAGCAGUGCCGCAACAAUACACAAAUGGCACCAACCAUGUUAGUACUGUCACCGACAAGGGAAUUGGCAACACAGAUUCAAGAUGAGGCAGUGAAAUUUGGGAGGUCCUCCAGAAUAUCUUGCACGUGUUUGUAUGGAGGGGAACCCAAAGGCCCACAAUUGAAGGAGUUAGAUACAGGAUUAGAUAUUGUGAUAGCUACACCUGGUCGUUUGAAUGAUAUACUAGAGACAAAGAGAAUUAGCUUGAAUCAGGUCUCAUAUUUGGUGCUUGAUGAGGCAGAUCGGAUGCUGGACAUGGGUUUUGAGCCACAAAUUAGAAAAAUUGUGAAGGAGGUACCCACUCGUCGCCAGACAUUGAUGUAUACUGCAACAUGGCCUAAAGAGGUGUGAAAGAUUGCAGCUAAUCUAUUAUCAAAUGCUGUCCAAGUUAAUAUUGGUAACACAGAUGAACUUGUUGCAAACAAGUCUAUCACUCAGGGAUUUGGAGGCUUUGACUACAAAAUGUGAGCUUAGGGAGGAAGAGAGAGGUUCCUGUAUAGUGGUAUACUACUAUAGCAGAUUAAGAAACCAUACUUGUGGCUUUCGACGACUAGACGUGUAACGUGAAUAGUCAAGAAGAAAAAAGGGUCAAAAGAUUAUGUAGACAUCCAUGUAUGAAUACCGAGAAACAGUAGAAAAAAGUGACAACUAACACUGCAAUAUUUCAAGGACAGAAGAAAGAUAUAUUUAAGCUCCUUAAUGAUUUCAAUUAGUGAUUUGAAAUUUGUUUCACUACAACUAGUCACGAAUGAAUUUUAAGUUGCAAUUAUAAUUGUUGUAAUCGAAAUUCAUUACUAUGAGAUAUUGUAUAUAUGCUAUAAUAUAUUUAUAGGCAAUAUAAAAAU